RNAcentral lists this ribosomal RNA (2261 nucleotides) under human gut metagenome. RNAcentral describes it as "bacterial LSU rRNA". It matches the Rfam family "Bacterial large subunit ribosomal RNA", at positions 1 to 2417 of the family's 2925-position model. The record is from RNAcentral.
UCAAGCGAUAGGUAAGGGCAUCUGGUGAAUGCCUUGGCAAUCAGAGGCGAAGAAGGACGUGAUACACUGCGAAAAGCCGUGGGGAGCUGUGAAUAGGCAUUGAUCCGCGGAUCUCCGAAUGGGGAAACCCACAGAGUAAUCUGUAUCAAUAUCUGAAUCUAUAGGGUAUUGAAGCGAACGCAGGGAACUGAAACAUCUAAGUACCUGUAGGAAAGGAAAUCAACCGAGACUCCGAGAGUAGUGGCGAGCGAAAUCGGACCAGCCAAUUUGCGAUUAGAUAAGAACCGGAAGUGUCUGGGAAGGCACAUCAUAGAGGGUGAUAGUCCCGUACGGGUAGAAAGUUUAAUUGUAAGAGAGUAGGGCGGAGCACGAGAAAUUCUGUCUGAAGAUAGGUCGACCACGAUCUAAGGCUAAGUACUACUGAUUGACCGAUAGUGAACCAGUACCGUGAGGGAAAGGUGAAAAGCACCCCGACAAGGGGAGUGAAAGAGAACCUGAAACCGGAUGCCUACAAGCAGUCGGAGGGGCAUUAAGCCCUGACGGCGUACCUUUUGUAUAAUGGGUCAGCGAGUUAGUUUAUGUAGCAAGCAUAAGCCGAUAGGUGGAUGCGUAGCGAAAGCGAGUGUUAAUAGCGCGUUAAGUUACAUGAAUUAGACCCGAAACCGAGUGAUCUAGCCAUGAACAGGUUGAAGGUUGGGUAACACCAACUGGAGGACCGAACCCACUCCCGUUGAAAAGGUAGGGGAUGAUUUGUGGCUAGGGGUGAAAGGCCAAUCAAACUCGGAAAUAGCUGGUUCUCCGCGAAAACUAUUUAGGUAGUGCGGUAGGCGAACACCAUGAGGGGUAGAGCACUGAAAGAGCUAAGGGGGAGCGAUCCUUACUAAACUUUAUCAAACUCCGAAUACUCAUGAGUGAUACUUACCAGACAGACAGUAGGUGCUAAGGUCUAUUGUCGAGAGGGAAAGAGCCCAGACCGUCAACUAAGGUCCCUAAAUUAUGGCUAAGUGGUAAAGGAAGUGGGAUAUCCAAAACAGUCAGGAGGUUGGCUUAGAAGCAGCCAUCCUUUAAAGAAAGCGUAAUAGCUCACUGAUCUAAAUAAGACGUCCUGCGCCGAAGAUGUAACGGGGCUAAAGCCAUAUACCGAAGUUACGGGAUUGUAUUGCAAUAGAUACAAUCGGUAGCGGAGCGUUCUGUAGGCCUGCGAAGGUGAACCGUAAGGUUUGCUGGAGGUAUCAGAAGUGAGAAUGCUGACAUGAGUAGCGAAAAGAAGAGUGAGAGACUCUUCCGCUGAAAGUCCAAGGUUUCCUGCGUAAAGCUAAUCUGCGCAGGGUUAGUCGGCCCCUAAGGCGAGGCAGAGAUGCGUAGCUGAUGGGAACACGGUUAAUAUUCCGUGACCAGUUAGGAAGUGACGGAUACAGUAGUUUGUACAUGCUUAAUGGAUUGUGUGUGCAAGUGAUGUGUCCCGGGAAAUAGCCCUAACGAAGACCGUACCCGAAACCGACACAGGUGGACAGGUAGAGUAUACCAAAGCGCUUGAGAGAACUAUGUUGAAGGAACUAGGCAAAAUGCUUGUGUAACUUCGGGAUAAGCAAGCCCGGUUUUAAGGCAACUUAAGGCCGGGGGCACAUACUAGGGGGUAGCGACUGUUUAACAAAAACACAGGACUCUGCGAAAUUGAAAGAUGAAGUAUAGGGUCUGACGCCUGCCCGGUGCCGGAAGGUUAAGGAGAGAUGUCAUCGCAAGAGAAGCAUUGAAUUGAAGCCCCAGUAAACGGCGGCCGUAACUAUAACGGUCCUAAGGUAGCGAAAUUCCUUGUCGGGUAAGUUCCGACCUGCACGAAUGGCGUAACGACUUCCCCGCUGUCUCCAACAUAGGCUCAGCGAAAUUGAAUUCUGAGUUAAGAUGCUCAGUACCCGCGGUUAGACGGAAAGACCCCGUGAACCUUUACUAUAGCUUUGCAGUGGUAUUAGGUAAGACAUGUGUAGGAUAGGUGGGAUGCUAUGAAGGUAGGACGCUAGUUUUACUGGAGCAGACGUUGAAAUACCACCCUUGUGUUAUUUGAUAUCUAACCUACUUCCGUAAACCGGAAGAGGGACCCUGCAUGGUGGGUAGUUUGACUGGGGCGGUCGCCUCCCAAAGAGUAACGGAGGCGCGCGAAGGUUGGCUCAGAUUGGUCGGAAAUCAAUCGUUGAGUGCAAUGGCAUAAGCCAGCCUGACUGCGAGAGCGACGGUUCGAGCAGAGACGAAAGUCGGUCAUAGUG